Molecule: long non-coding RNA, 612 nt
Organism: Gossypium arboreum
Lineage: Eukaryota; Viridiplantae; Streptophyta; Magnoliopsida; Malvales; Malvaceae
Exons: 3
Source: RefSeq, a predicted model, not a curated record
CAAAUCCAUAGUUCCAUUCCAGAGGAAAACCCUAAAAAAAUUGCCAUUCGUAUAAAAAAUUCAAAGGCAAACAGAUUACAAUCGCUUUCCUCCAUCGACUCUCAUCGUUAUCGACAAUGGCGGUUCCUAUUUUCGUAUUGGUUGGGCAGGAGAGACUGAGCCAGAGGUUAUUUUCCGUGACAUUGUUCAAAGACCUCGCCAUAAAUCCACUGGCGCCGGCGGACAUAGCGGAGGGGGCGCCUUUUGUGUCUGCCGCAUCGAUGUAAACAAAGCCUCGAGAUCGGGUGGAUGAAAGAACUCAUUGUUCGGAGACUUUCUCUUUAUAUGAACCGCUUGUUUUUUCUUCGGUGCCGCUGGACACGGGGGAGGAGCCGUAGCUUGUGAGUGCCGCCUCGGCGUCAUAAAACCUUCUUCUUGUUCAUAAAUCUCCAUUAAAAGAAAAAGAGAUUUUGAAAUAAUAGGAUUUUGCAUGUGAAGGUUUUUUAUAAGAGAGAUCUUGUGGGCGUGUUAGCUUGCUAUGGAAGAAUGAAGAUUUUAUUUUAAUUUCUUUUUCAUUUAUCUAAACGUACUGUGGAAGGAACCAUGAAACUCAGAAGCUAGUUUUGGUAAAAA